AAAGAAAUGUCUCUCCGAGUCUACUCGCCUAAAAGGUAAUAACCUCAUGGCGUUUUGGCCAACGGGUAUUGCCGGAAACGGCAAUGCCUCCCUUUUGGAAAGGAGAACCUGCUGUCCCGGA
RNAcentral lists this non-coding RNA (121 nucleotides) under Geobacter sp. RNAcentral's name for it is "MoCo sequence". It matches the Rfam family "Molybdenum/Tungsten riboswitch aptamer (Moco RNA motif)". RNAcentral also lists the same sequence under 1 other name. Lineage: Bacteria; Pseudomonadati; Thermodesulfobacteriota; Desulfuromonadia; Geobacterales; Geobacteraceae. The record is from RNAcentral.